GAUGAAGAACGUAGCGAAAUGCGAUAAGUAAUGUGAAUUGCAGAAUUCAGUGAAUCAUCGAAUCUUUGAACGCACAUUGCGCCCGCCAGUAUUCUGGCGGGCAUGCCUGUUCGAGCGUCAUUACAACCCUCAGGCCCCCGGGCCUGGCGUUGGGGAUCGGCGGAGCCCCCCGUGGGCACACGCCGUCCCCCAAAUGCAGUGGCGGUCCCGCCGCAGCUUCCAUCGCGUAGUAGCUAACACCUCGCGACUGGAGAGCGGCGCGUCCACGCCGUAAAACACCCAACUCUUCUGAAGUUGACCUCGAAUCAGGUAGGAAUACCCGCUGAACUUAGGCAUAUCAAUAAGCGGAGGA
RNAcentral lists this unclassified non-coding RNA (352 nucleotides) under soil metagenome. Its description in RNAcentral is "partial contains 5.8S ribosomal RNA, internal transcribed spacer 2, and large subunit ribosomal RNA". The stretch from base 1 to 120 matches the Rfam family "5.8S ribosomal RNA", at positions 35 to 154 of the family's 154-position model. The record is from RNAcentral.